Molecule: ribosomal RNA, 442 nt
Filed under: uncultured bacterium
Lineage: Bacteria
Description: partial 16S ribosomal RNA
Rfam family: Bacterial small subunit ribosomal RNA
Source: RNAcentral
CCUACGGGAGGCUGCAGUAGGGAAUCUUUCACAAUGGGCGAAAGCCUGAUGGAGCAACGCCGCGUGCAGGAUGAAGGCCCUCGGGUUGUAAACUGCUUUUAUAAGCGAGAAAUAUGAUGGUAACUUAUGAAUAAGGAUCGGCUAACUACGUGCCAGCAGCCGCGGUCAUACGUAGGAUCCGAGCAUUAUCCGGAGUGACUGGGUGUAAAGAGUUGUGUAGGGGGGAUAAUAAGUAGCUAGUGAAAUCUGGUGGUUCAACCAUUCAGACUAUUAGCGAAACUGUUAAGCUCGAGACUGUUAGAGGUAAGUGGAAUUUGGGGUGUAGGAGUGAAAGGCAUAGAUAUUAGGAAGAACACCGAUAGCGAAGGCAGGAUACUGGGACGGAACUGACGCUGAGGCACGAAAGCGUAGGGAGCAAACAGGAUUAGAUACCCCUGUAGUC